GAGUUUGAUCAUGGCUCAGAGCGAACGCUGGCGGCAGGCCUAACACAUGCAAGUCGAACGGAUCCUUCGGGAUCAGUGGCGGACGGGUGAGUAACACGUGGGAACGUGCCUCGUUGGUUCGGAAUAACUCAGGGAAACUUGAGCUAAUACCGGAUGAGCCCUACGGGGGAAAGAUUUAUCGCCGAGAGAGCGGCCCGCGUCUGAUUAGCUAGUUGGUGGGGUAAAGGCCCACCAAGGCUACGAUCAGUAGCUGGUCUGAGAGGAUGAUCAGCCACACUGGGACUGAGACACGGCCCAGACUCCUACGGGAGGCAGCAGUGGGGAAUCUUGCGCAAUGGGCGAAAGCCUGACGCAGCCAUGCCGCGUGAAUGAUGAAGGUCUUAGGAUUGUAAAAUUCUUU
Molecule: ribosomal RNA, 400 nt
Filed under: uncultured Alphaproteobacteria bacterium
Lineage: Bacteria; Pseudomonadati; Pseudomonadota; Alphaproteobacteria
Description: bacterial SSU rRNA
Rfam family: Bacterial small subunit ribosomal RNA
Source: RNAcentral